RNAcentral lists this ribosomal RNA (253 nucleotides) under uncultured bacterium. RNAcentral describes it as "partial 16S ribosomal RNA". It matches the Rfam family "Bacterial small subunit ribosomal RNA", at positions 524 to 776 of the family's 1533-position model. The record is from RNAcentral.
UACGUAGGGGGCGAGCGUUGUCCGGAAUCAUUGGGCGUAAAGCGCGUGUAGGCGGUUCGGUAAGUCUGCUGUGAAAGUCCAGGGCUCAACCCUGGGAUGCCGGUGGAUACUGCUGAACUAGAGUGCGGAAGAGGCGAGUGGAAUUCCCGGUGUAGCGGUGAAAUGCGCAGAUAUCGGGAGGAGCACCAAUUGCGAAGGCAGCUCGCUGGGACGUUACUGACGCUGAGACGCGAAAGCGUGGGGAGCAAACAGG